UUUCUUGACCUACCUUCUGAUGCUACUCAUUUGCUCAUGAAAGUUCCAUCCAGCACGUACUGCAGCCUUUUCUGUUGCAUAUGAGUGCUUGUUUGUUUCAGCGCUCAACUCCUCAGCUUUUAGAAGCCUUUGUCUAGGUCUUUGUUGAGCUAAGGUUGCUCCUACUAACCUUGUACCUGAUUACUUUACUUCAGGUUGAAAUACAGCAUAAGCAUUGUGGCAGACAAGGGAUUGAAAAAGUCAUUAUAUACUUCUGCGAGGCUGAAAAAAGGCGAAGUCAUAUACUUGGAAACACAUUAUAAUAGGUAUGAGCUGUUACCGUUAACUAUUUGGCCAUCACCUGAAGUUAUAUUUUUGACUUCUGUGGAGCACAGUUCCUUCAUUUCCCCCCCUCCUGUUACUGCAAGUUUUCACAGGUAUGAGCUGUGCUU
This 431-nucleotide long non-coding RNA is filed under the name Oryza sativa (Asian cultivated rice). RNAcentral's name for it is "long non-coding RNA (OSAT_LNC001346)". Lineage: Eukaryota; Viridiplantae; Streptophyta; Magnoliopsida; Poales; Poaceae. The record is from RNAcentral.